CUUAGCCAUUUUCUGCUCUGGAAAACUGUGGAAAAUUACUUAGAAUUUUUUAACUGUCGACCAAUAGUACAAUAACAUCGGGAUCGAAGUCGGGCUCGAUGAACAAUUAAUUUAAACAACAAGCCGAAAUUCAAAAAUAUCGAAUCGAAUGCCAUGUUGAUGUUGCACAGAAGGAAAGUUGGAAAGAGAGUGUCUAGAACAGGGGAAUCUUGAUAAGCUGUAGAUGGAAGAAGCUGAAGACAUUUUAAGACCCGCUGUUGCUGCAUAAAAAUGUGCCCGAGAUGAUCCCCUCAGCGCUGGCGUUUGAUAACUUGAUGGAUGUAGAUGCUUAGCCAGUCAGUCUCUAGGCUUGUGAAUAUGGAAUCCGGGUGCUCACAAGGACAAGAGGUGUAUGAAAAGAAAAACAUAAAGAAAUUGUGUAAGGAUCAAAAGUUUGAAGUGUCUGUUGGAAUGAUCAACAUCGAACUUUCUGAGCCUUCGUACUGAAAGUGAAUCCGUUCGUGACACCAAUUAACUGUCAACCUUCUAACAUAACCAUUUACUAAUUUCAUAGAAUAUCAGUGAGGAAGUGCAUGAUUCUCUAGCAAACACGUCAGAAGUUUUGGAUCUUCAUUAAUUGGGAUCUUUGGCACGUACGUUGGG
Molecule: long non-coding RNA, 642 nt
Organism: Saccostrea cuccullata (small rock oyster)
Lineage: Eukaryota; Metazoa; Mollusca; Bivalvia; Ostreida; Ostreidae
Exons: 4
Source: RefSeq, a predicted model, not a curated record